AGUGAACGCUGGCGGUAGGCCUAACACAUGCAAGUCGAACGGCAGCACAGUAAGAGCUUGCUCUUACGGGUGGCGAGUGGCGGACGGGUGAGGAAUACAUCGGAAUCUACUUUUUCGUGGGGGAUAACGUAGGGAAACUUACGCUAAUACCGCAUACGACCUACGGGUGGAAGCAGGGGAUCUUCGGACCUUGCGCGAUUGAAUGAGCCGAUGUCGGAUUAGCUAGUUGGCGGGGUAAAGGCCCACCAAGGCGACGAUCCGUAGCUGGUCUGAGAGGAUGAUCAGCCACACUGGAACUGAGACGCGGUCCAGACCCCUACGGGAGGCAGCAGUGGGGAAUAUUGGACAAUGGGCGCAAGCCUGAUCCAGCCAUACCGCGUGGGUGAAGAAGGCCUUCGGGUUGUAAAGCCCUUUUGUUGGGAAAGAAAAGCAGCAGGUUAAUACCCCGCUGUUCUGACGGUACCCAAAGAAUAAGCACCGGCUAACUUCGUG
RNAcentral lists this ribosomal RNA (492 nucleotides) under uncultured bacterium. RNAcentral's name for it is "partial 16S ribosomal RNA". It matches the Rfam family "Bacterial small subunit ribosomal RNA", at positions 29 to 507 of the family's 1533-position model. The record is from RNAcentral.